UUUACCAUUCUUUUUCUUGAACAACAAAUAAGAUAUCAGUGCAUUUGUGCGGGCUUUAUUUCCAGUUUAUAUUUUGGAAAUGUUCUCUGGUUUAUAUUCCACCAUUAUAGUGUUUAAAAUAUAGCCCUACAAUACAUGCCGACGUGAAUAUGCGGGCUACCUUCCUUGUUUCACUAAAAAGAAAUAUGGGAUAAGGCAUAAACUCCUUUACUGAAAAAUCUUAAACUAUGGUGGGAUACACAAACUAUGAGGACCUGCCCCCCAAAAAAAACAAAAAAAAAUCAACCCUCACAUAAUACAGGACCCGGAACAUUAUAUUGAUCCCUGCUACUUCUGUACUCUGUCUAAUAUAGCUAUUUGUUGUGCAUUUGAACGUUUCAAAAGACAUAAUUAAGCUUGUCGACUGAAAUUGUGUCUUGUACAAGUCUUGUGAAAUUAUUUUACGAAAGAAGUUACGCUAAAUUGUACUGGGAUAUUUCCUUUGAUCACUUGUCUUGACUUUAUUCUACAUCCUCAAAUAUCCUUGCAAUCCAGUGUGCUGAUCUGAAAGAACUCCUUCAUGGAUGCAGUGCCUCCUCCGCGAAGUCUACUGGAGACUUUGCUGAUAUCACUUGAACCACUUACAUUCCACAUCCAAAUGGGUCUGAGUUCUAAUUUAUCAGCAAUUAAGCACAUACAAUCUCCUGAUGCUUCCAAUUCCCACAUUCAUCAUGAGCAAAAGAAUAGUUCUUGGUUUAAUUAUGAGCAUGGUGGAUGUGAAAAUCUUGAACCAAAGAAGCAAGUGGUGAGGCACACGUCGUAAGCAUGGUCACAUACAUCUCUCAUUGUGUUUAUGAUCUCCAACCAAAAUGAUUCCAUCUAGCAUAUUCUCAAAAGCCCAAUGACCACUUGAUAAGUAUUGAAAAAGCCACUUCUACAUAUAUGUUGGAAUGUGUGGAACAUGAAAACUAAUAAUUGAAAUAAGACAUAAGCUCAUAAAUGUUGUGCAAACUACAAAGUCAUGUGAAUGAAAAGUGCACCAUAUAUACCACUCUCUGUUUCUGGAUACACUUGUCGUUCGUGGUCAGAUUUGAGAUUUGCAAUGCAGUGCUUGUUUGAAAGAAUUUCUGCUCGUAUGCAUGGAAGCCGCAAAUUUUAACCAUUCAUUUCUGGGACAUUUUGAAGGUGCAAACCAAAAUUUCAUAAAUUAUUUGAAUUAAUUUUCAAAUCCAAAUUUGUAAUUAUUUCUGGGACAAAAAGUUUAGGCCGUACAAAGCUCAAUUUAUUCUCAGACAACACAUUAUGUUCAAAAUAUAUAAAUGAUCUUGCAAGCAAUCAAUCCUUAACAGCCUAAAAACAGUACAAACAACCGAUCUUUGGAGCAUAGGUUUAACAAUCCAAACAGCUUUAACAGUCCACUACAUAAGUUUUAAGCAAUCCAAAUAGGCUUAACAACCGGCAACAAACCCAUAGCUUCCUCACUAUUAUCAAGAAGUCCUGCAAAGAACUUGUUACUUAUCACCGCCUACUGAUGAAAUAUGGCGCCAUGAGAAAUUAGUUUAUUCAUUUCAUAUUCAUCUUUUCAUUUACUCCAUAUAAAGUGAUUUCUACAGUAAAUGAAACCUGCAAAUUUCUGAUUCUCUUUAUGCAGAUCAUGAAAUGCACACUUGUUAGGACGUGCUAUUGUUUCUACCUGCACUCCUUGAGCUCUAGCUAGUUUCUGCGCAAUGGGGUGCAAGCCAUUAUGCAAGUAUUGUUUCUACCAUGGUUGUAUCUUGCAUUUUUACACUCACAUGUAUACAUGUACAUAUGCAGAACAACUAGCACAGGAUUAAUUGUGGCAUAGAACCGGGAAGGUUAGGAAAGUCACAUGAAUCCAUAUCUACAAGUUAAUAUAGAAACGCAGCCAGAAAAAUUCUGAAUAUCCAAUAAUUUUUAUCAGCCUUAGAUGGCAAAACGCAAGCUGCGUGAAGAAAAUCCACCAGCACGUCCUCCAUUGCCUCUUCUACAUGGACAGAUGUCAGAUGAUAGCAUGACUACUCUCAGCAGCCGUGCACGCUUGCAGAUUGGAAGCACAAGAACUUUGAACCCUGAAACGCUGAGCUAAAGAAAUACAGGUUCUUCUGCUCGCGGUUCAGUUCUCUCAGGACAGAAGGUACCGAGAAUGCCUCAAUCUAUUGUUCUGCCCCAUGCAGUAGUUCCCAAUGCCUCCCGAGCCUAUAUUAUAUUAGCCUAGCUUCAAACAAAUUGGUGAAUUGGAGAUGUACCAUUCACAGAUAUCUGUGAAGAUCUUCAUCGAUGACCCCUUAGUCAGAUGAUCUUCGUAAAUAUCGUUGUGUAGUUGUGUGCUCUAGAAAAAAAAAACAACUAUUAUAAGGGACACAAUUUGGCCAUGGCAAAUUUAUGGACUACAGGAUGUGUCUCUAGCUGAUCUUGUUUUUUUUUCUAGAAAAGGUUUUUUUUUUCACCAGCCUCUAUAGCUGACCUUGUUAAAUUUUUUUUAUAAAAGGUAUUUUUUUACCUGGUCUAUAUAUUCAACGUAUAUAUAUGGUCUUUUUAAAUUAGGAGCUUAUCCCCUUAAACAACCCAAUCUGAAAUCCACUGCUAUAAAGAUUUGAACCUAGAACCAUGGGAUGCUAUUCAGGUCACUACAACCACUAGACUGCGUAUCAUUUCACAGCUGACCUUGUAUUUGUAGGGUGCAAACUAGUUUGAUUUGUUUUUGGUAAUUCAUUUAUAACCUAUGGUCUCUGUACAACUAGGGAUAUGCACAUGACCAUCUUUAAUAUAGGCAUUAAGAUUUGAACCCAGUGAGUCCCAGAACAUCAAUGGCUGGUGUGUUCUUCCAAAGUAUGCUUUGAUAAUUGGCUAAGCUUUUAAGUCGUAAUUGCACAUUCGUCUCAUUGAUUUCAACUUUCAAGGAAUACAAAACAGCACGUAUAUUUCUGCAGUCUACAAAUGAAGCAACGAAAUAACCUUAACUUGUGGUUAAUUAUAUACCCAGAAGCCCUUAAACUCUGAUACUAGCGUAUCACUUUCAGCACAUGCCAUUGUCCAAGGUUUAGGCGGUCUGACAAUAAUCGUCUUCUUUGAGUAAAAUCAAACUGUACCUGUGGUAGUGUUUGAAGUAGUAUUAUACAUCGGGACUGUCUAUACAUUUAUCUGAAAAUUACCUGAAAGUUACAUACAAAUUACACUAAAAUUAUAUGCAAGUUAGAAUGUAACUAUACUACGAUUACACCGUAUUUACGUUUGAGAAAUUUUUAGAAGAAAAUUUAUCGAUAAAUAUAUAAAAAAAUGUUAUACUUAUGUGGUGCAUCCACUACCAUUAAAGAAAAAGGCCAUCCCUGCCGGCCCAUGAUGACCAGUUCACAUUUAAUUCUGGCCUAGAUCAAUAAUGAACUGGUAGUGAGAAUAGUAUCACUAUUGGUUCAAGCCACACAUAAGGGAUUUGCUAGGUUGACCAAGGCGUCUAUUGACUUACAUACACCAACCAGUUCAACCCAAAAGUGAGGCCCUCUCAAGUCUCUACCGUGCAAUAGAAGUGAAUCCCCCUCACGAGAGACCCCCCUCAAGCCUUUAGCAUGGAAAAGAAGUGGGCUGCAAUUUUUUAUUUAAUAGUGCGCUAGCUAGGAUUCGAACUCGUGACCUAUGGCUCUGAUAUGAUAUUGAGUUGCAUGCACCGACCAACCAAAAAAUCUAAGCUGGUGAGGAAAGGUGGGCAAUUCACUUUAUAUUCUAUCAGUGUCCAAUACUGCUACAAAUAAUGCUUUUUGUAGGCACCCCCACUAUAAGAUCAUAGGUGGACCGUCAGCGAUAAGUUUGGUCCGAGUAGGGGGCAUGAACCAUGAGAAACCUAGAACGAUUUUUCAUGGGUUGCACGAUGGGGAGUUCAGUAAUAGGUAUCUAAGAUCGCAAAUUGAUGAUGAAGGAGCAUAACGCAAAAAUGUGAGGGUGGUGCCCUCCAAUCAAAUUAAUCUUUUAGGUUGGAUAGGCCAAUAUAUAUCUUGACAGCCAUUUUGUGGUUUCUCA
Molecule: non-coding RNA, 4011 nt
Organism: Oryza sativa Japonica Group (Japanese rice)
Lineage: Eukaryota; Viridiplantae; Streptophyta; Magnoliopsida; Poales; Poaceae
Source: RefSeq, a predicted model, not a curated record